UAGAGUGUUCAAAGCAGGCGUAACUCGCCUCCGAAUACGUUAGCAUGGGAUAAUGGAAUACGACUUCGGUCUUGUUUCGUUGGUUUCGCUUGGCUGAAGUAAUGAUUGAUAGGGACAGUUGGGGGCAUUAGUAUUUAGUUGUCAGAGGUGAAAUUCUAGGAUUUACUAAAGACUGACCAAUGCGAAAGCAUUUGCCAAGGAUGUUUUCAUUAAUCAAGAACGAAAGUAGGGGGAUCGAAGACGAUCAGAUACCGU
Molecule: ribosomal RNA, 255 nt
Filed under: Vermamoeba vermiformis
Lineage: Eukaryota; Tubulinea; Echinamoebida; Vermamoebidae
Description: partial 18S ribosomal RNA
Rfam family: Eukaryotic small subunit ribosomal RNA
Source: RNAcentral